Molecule: long non-coding RNA, 4951 nt
Filed under: Sorghum bicolor (sorghum)
Lineage: Eukaryota; Viridiplantae; Streptophyta; Magnoliopsida; Poales; Poaceae
Description: long non-coding RNA (SBIC_LNC005469)
Source: RNAcentral
AGCAACCGAAUCAACCUACAACUUUAAUAUGCAUAUAUUUCGUCACUAUGGUGCAAAUUUAAGGAUGCGUUUGGUAUAGAUAGCUCGAGCUUCAGCUUCUUGUAACAAACAACAGUGUUUACAACUAUAGCGAGGAGCUACUCCGAGUCACAAGCUAAGGUGUCAAAUAAACUAAUAAUGCUAUAAUUUUGAGCUCUACCAUGCUACUACAGAUGAGGAGCUAUAGAGCCGAAUGAAUCUAUACUAUCAGACGUGUCCCGAAUGCAUUCCAACGGAUCAGUCGAACCGUAAAUUUGCCCACAAAACUGAAAAUAAAACCAGCUGCUAGCUAGGUUUCACCGAUUCGUGUGCGCUGUUUGGGUCUCCUCCAUUUUCAUUUUUCGAAAAAGAAAGGAAAUGCAAGACACGUUUUUGUCUAUAUCCCGGCCUGGACACUGGAGCAAUAAACGUGUUGUCGUCCCUUGUUCCGUUGCGUGGCAAAAUCGCGAAUAAUAAUAUAUACUACUGGUAUACUAGUAUUCCAUUCCCACCUGCAGUACGUGGGCGGGCUGUGUGGCAUCUAUCUAUGCCGUCCCAUAUCCAUGCUCGUGAACCUGUGGUGUGUGCAGGUCGUGGGCCGGUGCGGCCGCGCGUGCCUGAUUGCCUGCUGCUGCUGCUGCUCCCAUCUUCUCGGCCGGGCUGUUUGACGCCAGCCAAUUAAUGGCACAAUUACAAGUGCCAAGUAGGAUCUCGUCUCGCAUGCAUGUUGUUUGGCUGUUGGACAGACAGGAUCACAGGAGCAUUCAACACACAGUGUCUUCAUGCAUGUUACCAAUGUCAAAUCGCAUCGCAUCGCGUCCGGUGUGUUUAGUCGUGCAUGGUCAAAUCAAAUCUCAUCCCCCCGUAGCCAAUGCCCAUGCCGCCUUGCGGUGUGUCGAUCCUGUGAACUUGACGAUGCCUGCCGGGUGCCGCGCGCGCACGCCAUCUUGGGCCUUGUUUACUUCCAAAAUUUUUUACAAAAUAUAAAUAGUAGUACUUUUAUUUGUAUUUAACAAAUAUUGUUCAAUUAUAGACUAACUAGACUCAAAAGAUUCGUCUCGUCAAUUCUGGCUAAAUUGUGCAAUUAGUUUUUAUUUUCAUCUAUAUUUAAUACUCAAUGCAUACGUCUAAAGAUUCGAUGUGACGGGGAAUCUGAAAAAUUUUACAAAAUUUUUGGAGAACUAAACAAGGCCUUGCUGUGAAUUGCAAUUCCCCACUCUGCAGCUGUUGCAAUUCCCCUUCUUCGACUUUCAAAAUUACUGUCUUAGGGUCUGUUUAGUUUUCCCAACCAUACUAAGGCCUUGUUUAGUUCCAAAAAAUUUUAAUGAUGAAUGCUCUGGUCUUGUUUCGUUUGUAUUUGACAAAUAUUAUCCAAUUAUGUACUAACUAGAUUUAAAAGAUUCGUCUCGUUAAUUCCGACCAAACUGUGGAAUUAGUUUUUAUUUUCGUCUAUAUUUAAUGCUUCAUGCAUGCGUCUAAAGAUUUGAUGUGACGGGAAAUCUGAAAAAUUUUGCAAAUAUUUUUAGGAACUAAACAGGCCUUAGUAUAUAUGUAAUCUAUAAUAGAUGUGAUGUUCUAUAAUAUAUUUAAUGAUGUUUUAUGAUGUAUUUAGUGAUGUUAAUGUUUUAUAAAUAUAUUUACGAUAUUUAAAAAGUAACCCUUUGAUAUUAUUUGAAAUUUUUCUCCAUUUUGUGUUUUUAUUUUUUUCUUAUGCUUUUUACUCUAGAUUUUAUUAUUAUUUUUAUCUAUGCCAUGUAUUUAUGUAUUUUUAUGUAUAUUGUAAUAUCAUUUUCAUAAAUCUAAAACCAAAAUACUAUUCUUCUAAAUCGAUAACAUUUUUUUACAAAGACAGAACAUUGUAACCUAGAAUAUUGUCUCUACUUAAUAAAAGAAAAUAUUUUAUCUUUAUACGAUAAAUAUUCAUUAAUAAAAUUUUAUCUAAAUAUAUCCAUGUGUGAUCUUGUUUUGAAGGAUUUGUUAUAAGAAAUUUAAUGGUGCAAUCGAAAUUUAAUUUAUAUCUUUGGUUUAUGAUUUAUGACUUUUUUAAUUCGUUAAAAUAAUUUUGCAUGUAGAGGUGAGUGGGGCCUAGGUUGAUGGGAUAGCGUGUCAUCGCGCAGUAAAAAAGACCACGAAAGGAAUGAGAGUUUUGGACGGGUCCUCUCCAUAAUUUUUAGUUGUAGAAAUAAAUAUUUAUUAAUAAAAGUUUAUCUAAAUAUAUCCACGUGUGAUCUUGUUUUAAAGGAUUUGUUAUAAGAAAUUUAAUGAUGCAAUCAAAAUUUAAUUUAUAUCUUCGGUUUAAGAGUUAUGAAUUUUUUUAAUUCGCUAAAACAAUUUUGCAUGCAUGGGUGAGUGGGGCCUGAGUUGAUGGGAUAACCUAUCAUGACAUAGUAAAAAGGGGAGUUGUGGCUUCACCAUAGAUGUAGUAGACGGGUCCUCUCCAUAAUUUUUAGUUGUAGAGAUUUAUGGAUGUGAGUUAAAAACAGCUAUAGUAAAAAUACUCUCUCCGUUCUAUUUUAUCUAGCUAGCACAAGUUAGAAUAACACAAUCUUCUAGAUUACAUUGUAACCAUUUAUUUAUUUUAGAUUAUAUUAUUUAAGUUUAUAAACUUAUAAUCAUUGGAUAAUAUAAUUAAUUACAAAUUUAAUCAUAUAAAUUUUGUAUUAUACAAUAUUUAAACAUCAUUAGCAUAAUUAUUAGUUAAAGUUUUUAAAGUUGAAAUCUUGAUAUACAUGUGUGCUACAUAAAAUGGAAAUGAGGUAGUAGAAGCUAGAGUCAGAGCUCUAAUUUAAUAUAGGCCCCAAUUCACAAGGUAGCAAAACAAAAUUUAUACCGCCAGUAAUAUCACUAUGCUCCAAAAUACUAUAGGACUUAAGCUUUGUUCUAACACAUCUGUAACAACAUCUAAAAAAUAUUAAAUUCUCCAUGAAAUAUACCUUAAUAGGGCAUCUAUCUGAACUUGUAAUACAUAUUAUAAUAAGUUUCCAUUAAAUUUAAUCAAUGUACAAUCUUUUUACUUAAAAUAAAGUAAAGGACCUUGUAAUUUGUAACAAAUGGGUAGAGCGCAGUGAAAAAAGUUUUUUAGAGAGAGAAGCCGAAAUCACUCAAGUGGACACAUACAGAAAUUAUUUGCCAUUUGAAUUAAACUAGCACUGACAAUAUCUAUUUUUAUUGAUAUAGGGUGUGUUUAGAUCCAUUUUUUUAGAUUUUGAUAUUGUAGACUUUUCGUUUGUAUUUGGCAAACAGUGUUCAAUUAUGGACUAACUAGACUCAAAAGAUUCUUCUCACGAUUUACAGACAAAUUGUGCAAAUAGUUAUUCUUUUUAUUUAUAUUUAAUGUUUCAUACAUGUGUCGUAAGAUUCGAUGUGAUAGGGAAUCUUGUAAACUUUUUAAAUUUUGAAGAGAUCUAACCAGGCCCUAAGAAAUAUAAGGCCAUCAUUAGUGGAACUUUUAUGACCUAGUUUCUAACACAUCCAUAUUUUGAAAACAGUGGAGAAGAGUUUCAUGAGAAUGAAACUCUUUUUAGAGCAAGUUUAAUAAUACAACUCAUUUGCUGGCUGUAAGGUUUCAUGUAGCCUUCUCCGAACUCAUCCAUACAAUAGUUAGCUAUUCACUAUUAAUACAUGACCCACUUAUCUCUCUCACAAAGUUUCUUGGUUCCUGUGCCUAAGCUGGCUGUAAGCUUACAGCCUGCUUCUCCUCUUUUCUCCCUUCUCUCCUCCACCUCAGCAUUUAGCCGGCCUACAGCCCACUAUAAUACUUGCUCUUACUUUUAUAAAACUUUUAUCAUAUCUUUUUAUUAAUAUAGUGUCAUAUUAAUAUAUUUAAUAUGCAUGAAACUCUAUCGAGACUCGUCUAAGCAGGUAAACCCCAGGCUGGCUGCAGGAAACAACUUCAUUCUUCUUCCCUCUCUCUUGGAGAAGUUGAUGGCAGCAACUCCUCUUGUUCUUCUCUCUCUAACGUUAAUUAAUGGCAGCAACUAGCUUUCUUUUUUUUAUUAGUCUAUCUAUUUUAGUUGUUCAUUCAGUGGAGUUGUCACCGCGCAGGCUAGCUAAUAGCUAAUUAAACUGCCGCGUUAAACAGGCUUCCUCCAUCAUGUCCUUGAAAAGUUCGUCUAGUUUACUUGUGCAUUGAUGACAAUUUGUUAAAUUUCCUCGACGAUCGGGCCUUGUUUAGUUAAGGUCAGUCUCAAUGCAUAUUUUAUGGGAGUGUCAUGUACAUUAAAUAGAGUGCCACAUAAACAAAAUUGCUGACUUGGCAGGGUCAUUAAAUGAAGGAGUUUCAUCAGAUGAGAGAUGAGUUUCAUCCCCAUGAAACUCAUAUGGCUCGGUUACCUAGUUUAUAGUCUUGGUAACUGUGUCAUGAAACUAUGCAUUGAGAGUGGCCUAACACAAAAAACCAACAAGUUUUUAAAAUUCUCCAUCACAUCGAAUCUUGCGGCACAUGCAUAAAACAUUAAAUAUAGACUAAAACAAAAACUAAUUGCAUAGUUUGUCUGUAAAUCAUGAGAUGAAUCUUUUGAACCUACUUAGUCCAUGAUUGAACAAUAAUUGUCAAAUAAAAAUAAAAAUACUACAAUACUAAAAAUCAAAAAAAAAAUGGAACUAAACAAAGCCUAGAUAUCCAGGCAAGUAUGGGAGUAGUCUUUUAUUUGCUCCCCAGCUUGGAUACCAAAUCAAAUCCACCACAAAAGAAUUCCAACUCUAGGGUUUAGGGUUUAUGCCCAUCCUCCUUUACAAUCCCUAUGAAAUUCUUGCGUUGCCACAAAAAUUUUAAAACGACAUUCAGAUACUUUUUGAGAUAGAUGGAUUUACUAGAAGGGAAUUGUUCCACCGAUUCCAAGAAGACGAGGAUUCACAUUAUUCUAGUAUAUGUAAUAAUACUCACGUCUGGUUUAGAUGACGAAAUUUUUUUGAUUUUGAGUACUAUAGCAUU